AUCCCAUGAUAACGACACUUACGAAGUAAUUUCUUGAAUCUUUCCCAUGCCUCAUAGAAAUACUCGUCAUCCAAAUGUUGGAAAGUAGUUAUCUAAUUAUGCAACU
Molecule: small nucleolar RNA, 106 nt
Organism: Gossypium raimondii (Peruvian cotton)
Lineage: Eukaryota; Viridiplantae; Streptophyta; Magnoliopsida; Malvales; Malvaceae
Rfam family: Plant small nucleolar RNA R71
About the family: R71 is a member of the C/D box family of snoRNAs containing the C (UGAUGA) and D (CUGA) box motifs. Multiple nearly identical copies of this snoRNA have been identified in Arabidopsis, and it is thought to function as a 2'-O-ribose methylation guide for 18S ribosomal RNA.
Source: Rfam